GCCUUUUUAAAAAGGUGUUCCUGCCCAUUGAUUUAUAAUUAAAAAAUAAAAUUAUUUUUAAAUAAAUUUAAAGGACGCGGUAUCUUGACCGUGAUAAUGUAGCAUAAUCAUUCGCCAUUUAAUUGAUGGAUAGUAUGAAUGGUAUAACGAAUACAACACUGUCUCAAAUAGAAAUCUUAUAAAAUUAGAAUAAUAGUAAAGAUACUAUUUUAAACUGUAAGACGAGAAGACCCUAUAGAGCUUAACUAUAACUCUAUUUAAAAAAAUAAAUUCAUUUAUUUAAAUGUAGAGAUAGGUAGUUUAGUUGGGGCGACUGCUUUCUAUAUUAAACGAAAGUAAACAAAAUUAAUUAUAUAAUUUACUGUAUAAUUUAUAUAUUUAACAGUUAUAAAAAUAGGUAAUAAUGACCCGUUAUUAAUUCAUAAUAAUAAUAACGAUCAAUAAAUAAAAGCUACCUUAGGGAUAACAGAUAAUUUGUUUAAGAUCGUAUCGAAACAAAGUUGCACCUCGAUGUGAAUUAU
RNAcentral lists this ribosomal RNA (521 nucleotides) under Zanclea sessilis. Its description in RNAcentral is "partial 16S ribosomal RNA". It matches the Rfam family "Bacterial large subunit ribosomal RNA", at positions 1837 to 2540 of the family's 2925-position model. The record is from RNAcentral. Lineage: Eukaryota; Metazoa; Cnidaria; Hydrozoa; Anthoathecata; Zancleidae.